UGAGCUCGCGGCCUAUCAGCUUGUUGGUGGGGUAAUGGCCUACCAAGGCGGCGACGGGUAGCCGGCCUGAGAGGGUGUACGGCCACAUUGGGACUGAGAUACGGCCCAGACUCCUACGGGAGGCAGCAGUGGGGAAUAUUGCACAAUGGGCGCAAGCCUGAUGCAGCGACGCCGCGUGGGGGAUGAAGGCCUUCGGGUUGUAAACUCCUUUCGCUAGGGACGAAGCUUUUUGUGACGGUACCUAGAUAAGAAGCACCGGCUAACUACGUGCCAGCAGCCGCGGUAAUACGUAGGGUGCGAGCGUUGUCCGGAAUUACUGGGCGUAAAGGGCUCGUAGGUGGUUUGUCGCGUCGUCUGUGAAAUUCUGGGGCUUAACUCCGGGCGUGCAGGCGAUACGGGCAUAACUUGAGUGCUGUAGGGGUAACUGGAAUUCCUGGUGUAGCGGUGAAAUGCGCAGAUAUCAGGAGGAACACCGAUGGCGAAGGCAGGUUACUGGGCAGUUACUGACGCUGAGGAGCGAAAGCAUGGGUAGCGAACAGGAUUAGAUA
This 548-nucleotide ribosomal RNA is filed under the name uncultured Actinomycetales bacterium. RNAcentral describes it as "bacterial SSU rRNA". It matches the Rfam family "Bacterial small subunit ribosomal RNA", at positions 226 to 784 of the family's 1533-position model. The record is from RNAcentral. Lineage: Bacteria; Bacillati; Actinomycetota; Actinomycetes; Actinomycetales.